Molecule: non-coding RNA, 73 nt
Organism: Budorcas taxicolor (takin)
Lineage: Eukaryota; Metazoa; Chordata; Mammalia; Artiodactyla; Bovidae
Source: the annotation of a RefSeq genome assembly
UCCCUGGUGGUCCAGUGGAUAAGACUUUGCACUCCCACUGCAGAGGACCUGGCUUCAAUCCCCGGUCAGGGAA